RNAcentral lists this ribosomal RNA (555 nucleotides) under uncultured organism. RNAcentral describes it as "bacterial SSU rRNA". It matches the Rfam family "Bacterial small subunit ribosomal RNA", at positions 78 to 607 of the family's 1533-position model. The record is from RNAcentral.
CUUCGGGUGGUGAGUAAAGCGGCGAACGGGUGAGUAACACGUAAGAAACCUGCCCCUAAAUCCGUAAUAACAUUGCUAACGCGGUGCUAAUACCGGAUGUGGUCUCCAGUUUGCAUGAACAGGAGAUUAAAGGUGACCUCUACUUGUAAGUUAUCGUUUAGGGAUGGUCUUGCGGACCAUUAGCUUGUUGGCGGGGUAACGGCCCACCAAGGCUGCGAUGGUUAGCCGGCUCAAGAGGGUGAUCGGCCACAUUGGGACUGAGAUACGGCCCAGACUCCUACGGGAGGCAGCAGUAGGGAAUUUUGCGCAAUGGACGAAAGUCUGACGCAGCAACGCCGCGUGAGCGAUGAAGGUUUUCGGAUUGUAAAGCUCUGUUGAGUGGGAAGAAAACUCUCCGGGAUAAUACCCCGGAGACUUGACGGUACCACUCGAGGAAGCCCCGGCUAAAUACGUGCCAGCAGCCGCGGUAAUACGUAUGGGGCAAGCGUAGAUCGGAAUCACUGGGCGUAAAGGGAGUGUAGGCGGAAAGGUACAGUUAGAAGUGUAAUCCACGGG